This 501-nucleotide ribosomal RNA is filed under the name Bacillus cereus. Its description in RNAcentral is "bacterial SSU rRNA". It matches the Rfam family "Bacterial small subunit ribosomal RNA", at positions 1032 to 1533 of the family's 1533-position model. Lineage: Bacteria; Bacillati; Bacillota; Bacilli; Caryophanales; Bacillaceae. RNAcentral also lists the same sequence under 1 other name. The record is from RNAcentral.
UGACAGGUGGUGCAUGGUUGUCGUCAGCUCGUGUCGUGAGAUGUUGGGUUAAGUCCCGCAACGAGCGCAACCCUUGAUCUUAGUUGCCAUCAUUAAGUUGGGCACUCUAAGGUGACUGCCGGUGACAAACCGGAGGAAGGUGGGGAUGACGUCAAAUCAUCAUGCCCCUUAUGACCUGGGCUACACACGUGCUACAAUGGACGGUACAAAGAGCUGCAAGACCGCGAGGUGGAGCUAAUCUCAUAAAACCGUUCUCAGUUCGGAUUGUAGGCUGCAACUCGCCUACAUGAAGCUGGAAUCGCUAGUAAUCGCGGAUCAGCAUGCCGCGGUGAAUACGUUCCCGGGCCUUGUACACACCGCCCGUCACACCACGAGAGUUUGUAACACCCGAAGUCGGUGGGGUAACCUUUAUGGAGCCAGCCGCCUAAGGUGGGACAGAUGAUUGGGGUGAAGUCGUAACAAGGUAGCCGUAUCGGAAGGUGCGGCUGGAUCACCUCCUUU